Molecule: long non-coding RNA, 591 nt
Organism: Microplitis mediator
Lineage: Eukaryota; Metazoa; Arthropoda; Insecta; Hymenoptera; Braconidae
Exons: 3
Source: RefSeq, a predicted model, not a curated record
AAGAGGAAUAGAAAAUGAAAUGACAUGAGACAGUUUAAUUAUUUAAAUACUGUAUAAUUAGACGCGGGACGUUUUAAAACUUUGAAUAGAAUUAAAAGUACAGGAGGCGAGAUAGGAGUAUGUCAGAGUACAAAGUAAAUUAAAAUGUCGAUAAGAGUAGGGUCAGUAACACUUGAUAUGAAGAUGGACAUUAUUAUCCUUGUCAGUCAUCCCCGAAGAGAUCAUUGAGAUCAUAAAAGUAUCGAGGUAUAUAAAUAUAUGUAUAAGUAGCAGACAAGCUGGAGUUUUAAGCUGGAGCUCCAGCUGGAGCUGGAGUUGGUGGUAAAGCUGAAGACCCUGAGGCCACAGACAAACCAUCGAGGCUGGUCUAUGUUUUAUCCUCAAAAACCAGUUAUUGGAUGAAAGAUUAUUAAGCUCGUAAUAUUUACAUUCGAAAAUUAACAUCGAUGUUAAUUAAAUUACUUUGGAAAUGUCUGUUAUUUCCCAACAAUAAAAUCAACAGAAUUACUCAAUGGUGAUUAAUCCCGCGAGAAAAUGUUUGUGAAAAUAUCUGCUGUCGAAGAUGAAAUCCCGUGAAUAACUCCUCAGUCU